This 438-nucleotide long non-coding RNA is filed under the name Spirodela polyrhiza (greater duckweed). Its description in RNAcentral is "long non-coding RNA (SPOL_LNC001858)". Lineage: Eukaryota; Viridiplantae; Streptophyta; Magnoliopsida; Alismatales; Araceae. The record is from RNAcentral.
UAAUCACCAGCUUCGGCGGCCGCGGCUUUUCCUCCUCCGCCACCACCGCUGGUGGCGCCGCCGCCGCCGCCACCGCUGCUGCUGCCGUCUUAUUCUCCGCUGCGCGUUUAAGGGCUUGGAUGCGGGGGAGGUAGGCGGCGUCGAGAAGGCGGCGGAAGUCGAGGAUGGUCUGGUUCGCCGGCGAGGUGAGGGAGGGGUCGACGGCGAGCUCAUCGUGGAUGCGGAGGCCGACGGUGACCUCCGGGAAGCAGUGGGUGCGGUGGUCGCCGGAGAAGUCGACGGGGGGGAAGGCGGAGAGUUGGGAGAGGACGUCGCCAUACUUGGUGACCCACCAUGAAUGGUACUCGACGAUGACGAAGACCACGCGGCGGUUGUAGCGGAGGGAGGUGAUGUACAGAGGGAUGAGGCCGUCGUUGAACUCAUGGUAGAGGUUACCGG